Molecule: ribosomal RNA, 256 nt
Filed under: uncultured bacterium
Lineage: Bacteria
Description: partial 16S ribosomal RNA
Rfam family: Bacterial small subunit ribosomal RNA
Source: RNAcentral
UACGGAGGGUGCGAGCGUUGUCCGGAAUCACUGGGCGAUAAAGGGCGCGUAGGCGGUCUGCUAAGCGUGCCGGUGAAAGCCUGGGGCUCAACCCCGAGUCGGCCGUGCGAACUGAGUCGCUUAGAGCACUGUAGACGGCAGGCGGAAUUCCUGGUGUAGCGGUGAAAUGCGCAGAUAUCAGGAGAACGACCGGUGGCGAAGGCGGUCUCUGGGCCUUACCUGACGCUGAGGAGCGAAAGCGUGGGGAGCAAACAGG